Molecule: small nucleolar RNA, 134 nt
Organism: Otolemur garnettii (small-eared galago)
Lineage: Eukaryota; Metazoa; Chordata; Mammalia; Primates; Galagidae
Gene: SNORA71
Rfam family: Small nucleolar RNA SNORA71
About the family: The members of this family belong to the H/ACA class of snoRNAs which bind a number of proteins (including dyskerin, Gar1p and Nop10p) to form snoRNP complexes. This class of snoRNAs are thought to guide the sites of modification of uridines to pseudouridines by forming direct base pairing interactions with substrate RNAs. This family includes U71 (SNORA71), ACA39 (SNORA39) and ACA60 (SNORA60).
Source: Ensembl
CCCUGCAUUUGAAAGUGAUCAUGGGCUGCCGGUGCCCUGGUCAUUGAUAGUGCAGGGAGAGGAAUCGCUGAAAGCAUUUCCCCGUGUUUGGAGGGCCCUCACCUGUCCCUUACAAACCCUGGAGCUUUCUCACA